Molecule: small nuclear RNA, 55 nt
Filed under: Caenorhabditis brenneri
Lineage: Eukaryota; Metazoa; Nematoda; Chromadorea; Rhabditida; Rhabditidae
Source: RNAcentral
GUUCUUCCGAGAACAUAUACUAAAAUUGGAACAAUACAGAGAAGAUUAUUAUGCC